This is a long non-coding RNA of Apaloderma vittatum (bar-tailed trogon), 472 nucleotides long. RefSeq lists it as uncharacterized. The record is from RefSeq and is a predicted model, not a curated record. Lineage: Eukaryota; Metazoa; Chordata; Aves; Trogoniformes; Trogonidae. The transcript is spliced from 3 exons.
CGGUGAAGGACUAGGCUGAGAGCGAAACCUAAAUUUGCCAUCUAAAUCAUUGAACCACAGUGCCUGCAAUCAAUAUGGCCUUGAUCCAGAGCCCACUGAAAUCAAUGACAAGAAAGGUUUUGACCAGCUCCUGCUAUCCGCUGUACAUUGGUAAAUUGCACAUGUGAAUGUUUUCAGCCAGGGAAGAUUAACCUGAGAACCUGUGAUCAGUGUAAACAUGGCUGGGUGGCACAUGCCUUGGACAAGCUUAGUACUCAGCACCUCUAUCACCCAACUCAAGUGGAGAUUGUGCAGUCCAACGUUGUGUUUGACAUCAGCAGCCUGAUGCUCUAUGGUACUCAAGCUGUGCCUGUGAGACUGAAGAUACUACUUGAUCGACUCUUCAGUGUACUGAAGCAAGAGGAGGUGUUGCACAUUCUACAUGGCUUAGGCUGGACACUGCGAGACUAUGUUCGAGGCUACAUCCUUCAGG